Petromyzon marinus (sea lamprey) is the source of this 1017-nucleotide long non-coding RNA. RefSeq lists it as uncharacterized. Lineage: Eukaryota; Metazoa; Chordata; Hyperoartia; Petromyzontiformes; Petromyzontidae. The record is from RefSeq and is a predicted model, not a curated record.
GCGGAUAAGAGGAGCGGCGACCCACUUUAAAGCAACAUUGCCAACAGAGACUUCAAAAGAUCCGUGACUAAAGCAAGGACAACGCAGCGAUCGCGAUAUGCCUCGGCAUGUGGCAAUUGCCCUGCUAAGGCGUGCAUCCGGAGGCACUUGGGCUGCCUCUGCGCUGAAAUUGCAUCCUCGAAGAUGUAAUGGACGCUCGCAAAAAUCACACGCGAUUGCCUUUUGUCAUUAGCGUAUCCUGCAGAUUGCGUUCCGGUAUGCGCAGGCUCUGUUCGUCCGCUCACUUGACAGAUGGAGAAAAUGGCUCUGGAAUGGAGAGGGCAUUUAAUAUUCCAGCUGCCUGUCCAACAUGCUGAGACGCCUCCACCAGGUGCAGGACAGUACACAUUGCUCUGUCUAAAUGGUAAGCUAAGCAACCCACAGGUAGUGCGAGGUCAGUGUUUUCGUGGUUGGUUGUUGCCCAUUAGGGGCCCUAAGAGCAAAAAAAAAAUGUGGGGACCACCUUUCAAUUCGUAAUACCCUCGUGAGAUGACAGAUGAUACAUAGACAAGACCGAGAUAUGUAGUGAGAUAAAAACAAAUCUAGAAAAAAACAUCGUGAGAUAAGAAAAGGGAUAUGAAGACGAUGUACAGAUGAAAGAGAUGAAUUGGCAUCAUGUUAAUUUGGUAGGUAUCUUUUUUAGAAUUUUAAUUGGAGCUGACAUUCGACAUACCAUAAUACUUUUUAAUGAAUUAAUGGCCUCUUGAGCUGUUUGGGCCCCUGAGAUUUUGACUAGAACCACCACUGCAUGUUAUGAUUCACCUCCCCAGGGAUUUGCAGGCCUGUGAUGAUUCAGGAUCAUUAUUCACUUCGACAUUUAACUUUUUUGGUCAAAUUUUUUUGCAUCCCAAAUGUAUUGUUUCUCAUUUUUGUUCCCGUCUCAUAUGUAGAGUUUUCUUCAUCUUUUUACCCUAAAUGUAACAUCGGCAUGUCAUCUGCAUACUGUUAGUAAGUAAUAAAUUGCUAUGCACAAAAUUC